GGAAAGCAGCAAUGCGCUCGAGGAGGAGUCCGCGGCCGAUUAGCUAGUUGGUAGGGUAAAAGCCUACCAAGGCUAUGAUCGGUAGCCGGCCUGAGAGGGCACACGGCCACACUGGCACUGAAACACGGGCCAGACUCCUACGGGAGGCAGCAGUGGGGAAUCUUGCACAAUGGGGGAAACCCUGAUGCAGCGACGCCGCGUGAGCGAUGAAGCCCUUCGGGGUGUAAAGCUCUUUCGGCAGGGAAGAUUAUGACGGUACCUGCAGAAGCAGCUGCGGCUAACUACGUGCCAGCAGCCGCGGUAAUACGUAGGCAGCAAGCGUUGUUCGGAGUUACUGGGCGUAAAGGGUGUGUAGGUGGCCUGUUAAGUUCCGUGUGAAAUCUCCCGGCUCAACCGGGAGGGUGCGCGGAAAACUGGCGGGCUAGAGUACGGGAUGGGAGAGUAGAAUUCCUGGUGUAGCGGUGAAAUGCGUAGAUAUCAGGAGGAAUACCGGUGGUGUAGACGGCUCUCUGGACCGUAACUGACACUGAGACACGAAAGCGUGGGUAGCAAACAGGAUUAGAUACCCUGGUAGUCCACGCCCUAAACGAUGCAUAUUUGGUGUAGGCAGUUCAUUCUGUCUGUGCCGGAGCUAACGCGUUAAAUAUGCCGCCUGGGGAGUACAGUCGCAAGACUGAAACUCAAAGGAAUUGACGGAAUCGAAUU
This 705-nucleotide ribosomal RNA is filed under the name uncultured bacterium. RNAcentral's name for it is "bacterial SSU rRNA". It matches the Rfam family "Bacterial small subunit ribosomal RNA", at positions 201 to 925 of the family's 1533-position model. The record is from RNAcentral.